UGUGCUUGCCUUCUUGUCAAGAAUCAGGGGGCGCUUCCGGGUUGCUGACAUCAUACAGUCCAAGCCAUAAGUACCCAUUUUUAUCUCUGUUUGGCUGUCGAGAAAUCGAGCGAGAAACGCUGAGAAAGUGACGCCACGCAUUUUUAAGUUCCCGUCGCCCAGAAAUGACUAGUGGGGUUACACCUUCAGUUUCCCCAUCCCAUUUCUCAAUUCUUCACUCUAAACCAAAGAUUACCCACCUUUCAUCUCCUUCAAAUCUCAAAUUUCGACCGAUUUCACCAAUUGGGUCUCCCAGAUUCGUAGUCCGUUGCAGCUCUGGUGAUGACGACAGCAGGACUGUUCUAAAUGCCUUUUUCUUAGGAAAAGCUUUAGCAGAAGCCUUAACCGAGCGCGUUGAGUCAACAAUUGGAGAAGUUUUGAGUGGGAUUGGUAGGCUGCAAGCUGAACAACAAAAACAAAUUCUUGAUUUCCAAGAGGAGGUGAUAGAAAGAGCCAAAAAAGCCCAGGAAAAAGCCGCACGUGAUGCCAAAGAAGUACAAGGCCCGAUCUCUUCUUCUUCUUCGAUAAGAUCGCCUACGAUCGAGGUUGCUUCAUCUUCUACUACUUCGACCAACCAACAACAACUCUCGAAUCCCAGCUCUGAUUCAGGAACUGCUCCGAACCAGGAUCCUCCUCUUGGCGACGAAGAGUAAUUAAUUGUGUCUUUGUCAAUUUCUCUUGGUUGUUUUAUAUAGAAGACUUAUAGUGAAUGUAGCCUUUAUAUACUGAUGAUGGGUUGGGUUGAUUCGUCUUUCAGAGAUAUCUUAUGAGAUUCUAGAUAUCUUAUGAGAUUCUUGACGCGAUCGAACACAACCCAUUUAGUAAUAUUAUUAUUUGAAAUUUUGAAUAUAGGAACGAGUUAAAAAUGACUGUUAUAGUCAA
RNA transcript from Cucurbita maxima (winter squash), 921 nucleotides. RefSeq lists it as uncharacterized. The transcript has 5 exons. Lineage: Eukaryota; Viridiplantae; Streptophyta; Magnoliopsida; Cucurbitales; Cucurbitaceae. The record is from RefSeq and is a predicted model, not a curated record.